CCUUGGAUUCUUCUGGGGUUCUGUGAAAACGGAAAAAAUUUUCUGCCUUAGAGAUCUAAUUGGUCGGAUCUCCAUCUUUCCAUCUCGGAAAUUCUAUCUUCAUGUGUGAGUAAUUUGUGUCAUUAUCUUGGGGCCCUUUUCCUGUAUUUUUAUAUCUGUGCAACGUUGAACUUGAGCCCUCAUUUUGUUGAAAUUUGCUGAGGCUCUCCAGUAGGCUCUUUUUGAAAUCAUUAAGUAUUUCUUGCAGUCGGUUCUAAAUUUUGAUUUCCAAUGCUUCUAUUUGUGCUUUCACCGAGUUAUCAAUGGCCAUUGCGUAAGACUGCAAAUCUGUAAUCUCAACUUCUGUUUUUGGUAUCAGUCAAGGGUAUCAACACUGUCGAUGCGAAGUUGCCGAGGAGGUGGACGCCAAGGGCAGUGCUGCAGUCGCUGCAUUGGAGGAAGAGUAGCUGCCUUGUUUCUAUCGCUGUGUGGGGUGAGAGCGUCGGGGUUGGAAGGCAACUUCGUUGAUGUGGUUGCAGUUGCUGCGACCCAAGGGGCGAUCGCCGAGCAACGGGGUUGAGGCAAGGCAGCGUACUUGCUGCGGUUGCUACGUUCGCUGUUGGAGGGCGGCUGCUGCAGAAUGAGGGGUUAGUCGUUGGCCGGGAGCGACGACGGUAGUUACAAUCGGCGACUGCGGCAGCAGAGGGUGCCACUAUUUUUGUUGCUGCG
This 708-nucleotide long non-coding RNA is filed under the name Musa acuminata (dwarf banana). RNAcentral describes it as "long non-coding RNA (MACU_LNC007710)". Lineage: Eukaryota; Viridiplantae; Streptophyta; Magnoliopsida; Zingiberales; Musaceae. The record is from RNAcentral.